AUGGGGUGCAGCAGGCGAGAAAACUUCGCAAUGUGCGAAAGCACGACAAGGUUAGUCCGAGUGAUUUCUGCUAAAGAGAUCUUUUGCUAGUUAUAAAACCACUAGUGAAUAAGGGGUGGGCAAGUUCUGGUGUCAGCCGCCGCGGUAAAACCAGCACCUCAAGUGGUCAGGAUGAUUAUUGGGCCUAAAGCAUCCGUAGCCGGCUCUGUAAGUUUUCGGUUAGAUCCAUGUGCUCAACGCAUGGGCUGCCGAAAAUACUGCAGAGAUAGGGAGUGGGAGAGGUAGACGGUACUCGGUAGGAAGGGGUAAAAUCCUUUGAUCUAUCGAUGACCACCUGUGGCGAAGGCGGUCUACCAGAACACGUUCGACGGUGAGGGAUGAAAGCUGGGGGAGCAAACCGGAUUAGAUACCCGGGUAGUCCCAGCUGUAAACGAUGCAGACUCGAUGAUGCAUUGGCAUAUAGCCAGUGCAGUGUCGCAGGGAAGCCGUUAAGUCUGCCGCCUGGGAAGUACGUACGCAAGUAUGAAACUUAAAGGAAUUGGCGGGGGAGCAC
RNAcentral lists this ribosomal RNA (553 nucleotides) under uncultured Nitrososphaerota archaeon. Its description in RNAcentral is "bacterial SSU rRNA". It matches the Rfam family "Archaeal small subunit ribosomal RNA", at positions 325 to 879 of the family's 1478-position model. Lineage: Archaea; Thermoproteati; Nitrososphaerota. The record is from RNAcentral.